AUUGAACGCUGGCGGCAUGCCCUACACAUGCAAGUCGAACGGUAACAGGUCUUCGGAUGCUGACGAGUGGCGAACGGGUGAGUAAUACAUCGGAACGUGCCUAGUAGUGGGGGAUAACUACUCGAAAGAGUGGCUAAUACCGCAUGAGAUCUACGGAUGAAAGCAGGGGAUCGCAAGACCUUGUGCUACUAGAGCGGCCGAUGGCAGAUUAGGUAGUUGGUGGGAUAAAAGCUUACCAAGCCGACGAUCUGUAGCUGGUCUGAGAGGACGGUCAGCCACACUGGGACUGAGACACGGCCCAGACUCCUACGGGAGGCAGCAGUGGGGAAUUUUGGACAAUGGGCGAAAGCCUGAUCCAGCAAUGCCGCGUGCAGGAUGAAGGCCUUCGGGUUGUAAACUGCUUUUGUACGGAACGAAAAGCCCCGGGUUAAUACCCUGGGGUCAUGACGGUACCGUAAGAAUAAGCACCGGCUAACUACGUGCCAGCCGCCGCGGUAA
RNAcentral lists this ribosomal RNA (498 nucleotides) under uncultured bacterium. RNAcentral's name for it is "partial 16S ribosomal RNA". It matches the Rfam family "Bacterial small subunit ribosomal RNA", at positions 30 to 523 of the family's 1533-position model. The record is from RNAcentral.